Molecule: ribosomal RNA, 429 nt
Filed under: Chloroflexota bacterium
Lineage: Bacteria; Bacillati; Chloroflexota
Description: Chloroflexi bacterium partial 16S ribosomal RNA
Rfam family: Bacterial small subunit ribosomal RNA
Source: RNAcentral
UGGGGAAUAUUGCACAAUGGGCGCAAGCCUGAUGCAGCCAUGCCGCGUGUGUGAAGAAGGCCUUCGGGUUGUAAAGCACUUUCAGCGGGGAGGAAGGCGAUAAGGUUAAUAACCUCAUCGAUUGACGUUACCCGCAGAAGAAGCACCGGCUAACUCCGUUCCAUCAGCCGCGGUAAUACGGAGGGUGCAAGCGUUAAUCGGAAUUACUUGGCGUAAAGCGCACGCAGGCAGUCUGUCAAGUCGGAUGUGAAAUCCCCGGGCUCAACCUGGGAAAUGCAUUCGAAACUGGCAGGCUAGAGUCUUGUAGAGGGGGGUAGAAUUCCAGGUGUAGCGGUGACAUGCGUAGAGAUCUGGAGGAAUACCGGUGGCGAAGGCGGCCCCCUGGACAAAGACUGACGCUCAGGUGCGAAAGCGUGGGGAGCAAACAGG